UAGCUCCCUAUUUUCAUUUCAAAAGAAAAGAAGGGCACUGAAGUUUUCCCGAAAUCUCAGGAUUGCCUAAACUCCGACUAACAGAUGUUGUAACAAUCCAAAUUCCCCUUGAGCGAGGUUACAGUCCCUAGAAGGUGCUAGGCCUGUACGAGUGGUGAAACAUUUGGUUUGGUUGCACUUUGGAGUCGGGUUGUCUGAGAUCGCAACCCAGAGUGGGUGAUAAACCUCAUCUGAAGCUAAUUGCAGCCAGGAGACUGAUAGCAAACAAGUAUCGUGAGG
RNAcentral lists this non-coding RNA (279 nucleotides) under Gongylonema pulchrum. RNAcentral's name for it is "Eukaryotic large subunit ribosomal RNA". It matches the Rfam family "Eukaryotic large subunit ribosomal RNA", at positions 110 to 358 of the family's 3401-position model. Lineage: Eukaryota; Metazoa; Nematoda; Chromadorea; Rhabditida; Gongylonematidae. The record is from Rfam by way of RNAcentral.